UUUUUAUGCACUUUUAAUUUGACUAAACAACUGCAUUUAAUGGAGGUCAUUGUGGCAAAACUUGGGGGGCCAAGUUGUCGUUUUUUUUUUUCCUGUCACCAUCCCAAAAAAUUCAUUCAGCAAUGCUGUCACUUUCUCUUUCACCUUCCUGCUCAUUUCCUCCCUUCCCAAAAGCGGAAUACAAGAUAAUCAAGUAGCCAGCUGACAUCAAGGACAGUCGAUGAGAACUUUGUCGUAUCGGGCAAGAUAAGCAAAAAUUUUACAAAGUAAAGUAUCAUAUGAUUGGAAAACGCAAAAGAAGAUGAAUGCUUGCAGAAAAGUCCCAGAAUAUACUCUGUAUCAUUCCUUUGUGGGGGGAAAAAAAAGAUCUGACAACACUGGUGUGUAAAGGGCGUGGUGUACAUGCCAGUAAUUUAUUCGUCUUUGGCUGCACUGUAUGUUUUACAGUAGACUGGGACCCAAAUCAGUCACUUCAACUGCGGCAAGCAAAAGCUUCAGUAAACUGUGACGUCACCCUUACAACGAGCAGCGAGCCAACGCAGCAGAUGUGACUCAAAUGCUGAGCGAUACAGGAAAUAGAUCCCAAACACGAUGUGGACAUUUUGACCGUGACAACACAAAACGUGGCAACCACACUAACUCUCUCUCUCUCUCUCUCUUUCUCUAUCUAUCUAUCUAUCUAUCUAUCUUGUGAUUCUGCUAUUCGAGACUCAAGAAAAUGGUAUUGUAGCAGCAAAAUUCACUUUUCAUACAGAACAUAAGUGCAGAAGUGCAAUUUUCGAUUUAGUGUAAGAUUUGGAUUAUAAAUAUGGAGUCAAAAGGUCACCAGAAUAUUUUGAAACUGCUCUCAUUAUAAUUACACUGCAAGGCUAACUCACUUCAUGCUAUAACCACAAUAAUAAACAGAUCCUUAUCCCUUUAAGGGACAGCGGUUA
Hippocampus comes (tiger tail seahorse) is the source of this 935-nucleotide long non-coding RNA. RefSeq lists it as uncharacterized. Lineage: Eukaryota; Metazoa; Chordata; Actinopteri; Syngnathiformes; Syngnathidae. The record is from RefSeq and is a predicted model, not a curated record. The transcript is spliced from 2 exons.